UCGGAGUUUAAGAAGCAUUUGGACUGUGCUGUUGUCAUAUGGUCUGAAUUCUGAUUUUUGGGUAGACCUGUGUGGACCCAGGAGUUGGACUCGAUGUGGGUCCCUUCCAACUCGGGAUAUUCUAUGAUUCUAGUUCACUAGAAGAAUUAAUACAAUAUAGGAUUUCUUUUUCCUCCAAUACUAGGAAUCAUGUAACAUCCAAGUGAGAGGUUCGAGGACCACACAUCUGGACAUUUGCUCAGCAGCAUACUGCCUGCUAAGGGGAAACAAUUUUUAUUUUGUACAUGGUGAGAGAACUCUGAAGUUUCCAGCUAAUGGCUGCUUGAAGGUACCAAGUGAAGAUGAACUACUUAACUUCAAGAUUAGUCUAAACCUAAGAAGAAUCCUGCUCUGAAACGCUGUCAUGAUAAAAGGAAGUACUAGAAGUUUGGAACAGAGAAAAAAGUUCACAUUAAAAAAAAGUGUCCCUUAGGACUCAAGCAAA
This 484-nucleotide long non-coding RNA is filed under the name Anser brachyrhynchus (Pink-footed goose). Its description in RNAcentral is "lncRNA (ENSABRG00000014211.1)". The record is from RNAcentral. Lineage: Eukaryota; Metazoa; Chordata; Aves; Anseriformes; Anatidae.